AGGAAACCUUCGUAUAAAAAUAAUUUUAGUGGGUGGACCAGCCAUCAUAUGGGCAUGUAAGGCUCAUAAUUUUGGGGCUUCAAAAGAAAAAGGGUGAAAAACUUAUUAUUGGGCCUGCAUAGGAUUUAAAUGCCCAAAGUAUGGAUAGGGAUUCCUACCUCAUAUUAAAUGUCUUGAUUGUCCUUCCUCCGUAAUUAAACCUGGAACUAAUAAUUAGUCAAAAACAAAAGUAAUACUUAUAAUCAAUUUUUUUUUCUUUUUUUUCCUCCUUUUUCUUCUCUUCUUAAUUAGUGAUAAUGACGAUGAAUCCCAUAAUAAAAUGAAGAAUUGAUCGAUCAAGAAGUUCAAACAUCAGUUAAUCCUUCAACAAUGACUUCUAUUAGAAAAAACAGAACACUACCAGUAACUCGGAUCUGACCCAGUUUUGAAGACGACGAGUUUCAGGCACCGACUUUGGACCAGAGUAAGAAGAAAUUCGUUUUG
Papaver somniferum (opium poppy) is the source of this 483-nucleotide long non-coding RNA. RefSeq lists it as uncharacterized. The transcript is spliced from 2 exons. The record is from RefSeq and is a predicted model, not a curated record. NCBI's taxonomy places the organism in Eukaryota, Viridiplantae, Streptophyta, Magnoliopsida, Ranunculales, Papaveraceae.